UGGGGAAUAUUGGACAAUGGGCGAAAGCCUGAUCCAGCCAUGCCGCGUGUGUGAAGAAGGUCUUCGGAUUGUAAAGCACUUUAAGUUGGGAGGAAGGGCAUUAACCUAAUACGUUAGUGUUUUGACGUUACCGACAGAAUAAGCACCGGCUAACUCUGUGCCAGCAGCCGCGGUAAUACAGAGGGUGCAAGCGUUAAUCGGAAUUACUGGGCGUAAAGCGCGCGUAGGUGGUUUGUUAAGUUGGAUGUGAAAUCCCCGGGCUCAACCUGGGAACUGCAUUCAAAACUGACUGACUAGAGUAUGGUAGAGGGUGGUGGAAUUUCCUGUGUAGCGGUGAAAUGCGUAGGUAUAGGAAGGAACACCAGUGGCGAAGGCGACCACCUGGACUAAUACUGACACUGAGGUGCGAAAGCGUGGGGAGCAAACA
This 427-nucleotide ribosomal RNA is filed under the name uncultured bacterium. Its description in RNAcentral is "partial 16S ribosomal RNA". It matches the Rfam family "Bacterial small subunit ribosomal RNA", at positions 355 to 774 of the family's 1533-position model. The record is from RNAcentral.